GCCUGGGUGGCUCGGUUGGUUGAGCGUCUGACUUCAGCUCAGGUCAUGGUCUCACAGCUCGUGGGUUUGAGCCCCACAUCAGGCU
Molecule: transfer RNA, 85 nt
Filed under: Felis catus (domestic cat)
Lineage: Eukaryota; Metazoa; Chordata; Mammalia; Carnivora; Felidae
Rfam family: tRNA
About the family: Transfer RNA (tRNA) molecules are approximately 80 nucleotides in length.
Source: Rfam by way of RNAcentral